RNAcentral lists this non-coding RNA (30 nucleotides) under Rattus norvegicus (Norway rat). The record is from RNAcentral. Lineage: Eukaryota; Metazoa; Chordata; Mammalia; Rodentia; Muridae.
UGAGAAAGCCCUUGGAUACCCAGCUCAAUC